Hydra vulgaris (swiftwater hydra) is the source of this 800-nucleotide long non-coding RNA. RefSeq lists it as uncharacterized. The record is from RefSeq and is a predicted model, not a curated record. NCBI's taxonomy places the organism in Eukaryota, Metazoa, Cnidaria, Hydrozoa, Anthoathecata, Hydridae.
AACAUAUCUUUAAAUCAACCAAGUGUUUGUAUUGUUUUCUUGGAGAAUUAAAUUUAAAAAUAUAUUGGAGUAUUUUUAGUUUGUCUUCGUUGAAACUAGGUUGUGUUUGUAUUUCUACUUGAGUCAAGUAGAUAUGAUUAAAAUGAUAAAGUUUUUAUGGUGUGGUUAUUUAGAUUAAAUAGCUUAAUUGUUGAGUAAACUUGAUUGCUAACUAGAUUAAGUUUUUAAUUCUACUUGAUUAUCAACUGCUUUUAAUGCAAAAAAGUUCAUUUGGAUUUGAGAAAAGGGAACAACAUUUUCAGAGUUUUUCUUCUUUAACUCUAAAAAUAAAAUAUAAUAAUAUCAGUGGUUUUUAUUAAGGAAUUACUAUAGUUAAAAAGGCUGAAAGGAAAAAAUAUGACGAUUUGUUUCAAGAAAGUCAAAAAAUAAUAAAUAAAGAUUAUAUUGAUUGUGAUGACCAAGAGAUUCAUUUAAAGACACACCGAUCUUCAACAUCUUAAAAUAAAAAGGAUAAAUAUGAUUUCCAUUAUCUCAAGCAAUUUUAUGACAAAUUCAUUCAUGAUCAAAUUUAAUAUGGCAGCUGGAAAAGACAAAGGAUCGUUUUAGUCUAUACAACUUAAUAAAAGUUUGUGCAUCGACUGCUCACUAAUCAUAAACAGAGUCGAUUGUCGAUGCAAUAAUUACUGAUUCGUUAAAGCUGGCAACUUCUACUUGUGUUAAAGUACUUUAAAUCCAACAGAUAUCAUUGUUACGAUAUUAAUUUGUUUGUAAAUUGUUUUAAAAAAUAACUUUUAAAUAAA